GGCGAACGCUGGCGGCGUGCUUAACACAUGCAAGUCGAACGGAGUGCUAAAGAUGAUUUCUUCGGAAUGAAUUUUUAGUUACUUAGUGGCGGACGGGUGAGUAACGCGUGAGGAACCUGCCUCUCAGAGGGGGACAACAGUUGGAAACGACUGCUAAUACCGCAUAAUGCAUUCUGAUCGCAUGAUCGGGAUGCCAAAGAUUUAUCGCUGAGAGAUGGCCUCGCGUCUGAUUAGAUAGUUGGUGGGGUAACGGCCUACCAAGUCGACGAUCAGUAGCCGGACUGAGAGGUUGACCGGCCACAUUGGGACUGAGACACGGCCCAG
RNAcentral lists this ribosomal RNA (324 nucleotides) under uncultured bacterium. RNAcentral's name for it is "bacterial SSU rRNA". It matches the Rfam family "Bacterial small subunit ribosomal RNA", at positions 28 to 334 of the family's 1533-position model. The record is from RNAcentral.